This 747-nucleotide ribosomal RNA is filed under the name uncultured Oribacterium sp. RNAcentral's name for it is "bacterial SSU rRNA". It matches the Rfam family "Bacterial small subunit ribosomal RNA", at positions 28 to 776 of the family's 1533-position model. The record is from RNAcentral. Lineage: Bacteria; Bacillati; Bacillota; Clostridia; Lachnospirales; Lachnospiraceae.
GAUGAACGCUGGCGGCGUGCCUAACACAUGCAAGUCGAACGGGGUUCUAUGUCGGAAGUUUUCGGAUGGAAGAGAUAGAACCCAGUGGCGGACGGGUGAGUAACACGUGGGUAACCUGCCUCAUAGAGGGGGAUAACAGAGAGAAAUCACUGCUAAUACCGCAUAAGCACACGGGAUCGCAUGAUCCAGGGUGAAAAGAUUUAUCGCUAUGAGAUGGACUCGCGUCUGAUUAGCUGGUUGGCGGGGUAAAGGCCCACCAAGGCGACGAUCAGUAGCCGAUCUGAGAGGAUGGCCGGCCACAUUGGGACUGAGACACGGCCCAGACUCCUACGGGAGGCAGCAGUGGGGGAUAUUGCACAAUGGAGGGAACUCUGAUGCAGCAACGCCGCGUGAGUGAAGAAGUAUUUCGGUAUGUAAAGCUCUAUCAGCAGGGAAGAUAAUGACAGUACCUGAAUAAGAAGCCCCGGCUAACUACGUGCCAGCAGCCGCGGUAAUACGUAGGGGGCAAGCGUUAUCCGGAUUUACUGGGUGUAAAGGGAGCGUAGACGGCGAAGCAAGUCUGAAGUGAAAAUCCGGGGCUCAACUCCGGAAGUGCUUUGGAAACUGUUUUGAUAGAGUGUCGGAGAGGUAAGUGGAAUUCCUGGUGUAGCGGUGAAAUGCGUAGAUAUCACGAAGAACACCGGAGGCGAAAGCGGCUUACUGGACGAUAACUGACGUUGAGGCUCGAAAGCGUGGGAAGCAAACAGG